AUUCUGGUCGAGCGAGCAGCUCUAAAAUGCAAAUACACUUUGCAGCUUAUAACCCGUAGCGAGCAUACAACGUGGCAAUGGCGUCCUUUCUUUUGAAUUCCUUGUGAAUCAUUUUAACUUGGCUUCGGGUCAACAUGUUAGAGGUUGAUACCAACAAUUUCAUCAAGAGUCCGGCUUGAAAGCCGGUCCUUUCCCCGGGUCCUUCCUUUCGCCCCUGCACACCUGGCUUUGUCUUCUGGAACGUGCUGGCGCAGCCUGCCCUUGCAGUAUUGUUCUUGUGACUCCGUGCUGUUCAUCGCGGCUGUGGCGUACUGGUUAGAACGGCUGGCUGGAUACGCAACGACGGUCUCGCUGCGUAUCAUCGCGACUCCUGCCGUCUGCUGCGCGCCACUGGAGCGGCAUGUAGCCGCAGUUCUGCUGCCUCUGUAGCAACACGUGUCUCAGGUGUGGUCAACUCUAAUUUCUCUUAGUGAUCUCUUAAGACUUAAAUUAACCUAGCAAGGAACAUAUAAUAGUGGCCUCUUAGAUUUGAUUUCAAGUGCAAAGUGCUAAGCGUGAAAACAGGACUUCAUAGACUUUCUAACGUUUAACGUCUCAUUAUAGCAUAGUUCACCCUAGCAUAAUUACCAUAAGUAUGUAAAUUCUGUAUCAGGCCUACUGCCCGUCAUCUAUUUAUUUAAGGAUUGUGAUUAAAUGUGUAA
Molecule: long non-coding RNA, 701 nt
Organism: Cydia strobilella
Lineage: Eukaryota; Metazoa; Arthropoda; Insecta; Lepidoptera; Tortricidae
Exons: 3
Source: RefSeq, a predicted model, not a curated record